GUGCCAGCCGCUGCGGUAAUACGUAGGUGGCAAGCGUUGUCCGGAAUUAUUGGGCGUAAAGCGCGCGCAGGCGGUUUCUUAAGUCUGAUGUGAAAGCCCACGGCUCAACCGUGGAGGGUCAUUGGAAACUGGGAAACUUGAGUACAGAAGAGGAGAGUGGAAUUCCACGUGUAGCGGUGAAAUGCGUAGAUAUGUGGAGGAACACCAGUGGCGAAGGCGACUCUCUGGUCUGUCACUGACGCUGAGGCGCGAAAGCGUGGGAGCAAACAGGAUUAGAUAACCCUGGUAGUCCACGCCGUAAACGAUGAGUGCUAGGGUGUUAGGGUUUCGAUGCCCUUAGUGCCGAAGUUACACAGUAAGCACUCCG
This 367-nucleotide ribosomal RNA is filed under the name uncultured bacterium. Its description in RNAcentral is "bacterial SSU rRNA". It matches the Rfam family "Bacterial small subunit ribosomal RNA", at positions 505 to 871 of the family's 1533-position model. The record is from RNAcentral.